GGGCCCGCACAAGCGGUGGAUGAUGUGGAUUAAUUCGAUGCAACGCGAAAAACCUUACCUACCCUUGACAUGUCAGGAAUUUUGCAGAGAUGCGAAAGUGCUCGAAAGAGAACCUGAACACAGGUGCUGCAUGGCUGUCGUCAGCUCGUGUCGUGAGAUGUUGGGUUAAGUCCCGCAACGAGCGCAACCCUUGUCAUUAGUUGCUACGCAAGGGCACUCUAGAGAGACUGCCGGUGACAAACCGGAGGAAGGUGGGGACGACGUCAAGUCCUCAUGGCCCUUAUGGGUAGGGCUUCACACGUCAUACAAUGGUUGGUACAGAGGGUUGCGAACCCGCGAGGGGGAGCUAAUCCCAAAAACCAAUCGUAGUCCGGAUUGCAGUCUGCAACUCGACUGCAUGAAGUCGGAAUCGCUAGUAAUCGC
RNAcentral lists this ribosomal RNA (423 nucleotides) under uncultured bacterium. RNAcentral describes it as "bacterial SSU rRNA". It matches the Rfam family "Bacterial small subunit ribosomal RNA", at positions 917 to 1345 of the family's 1533-position model. The record is from RNAcentral.